GUACGGGAGGCAGCAAUUAGGAAUCUUGCGCAAUGGGCGAAAGCCUGACGCAGCGACGCCGCGUGCAGGAUGACGGCCUUCGGGUUGUAAACUGCUUUUAAGAAGGAAGAAGGAAGUGACGGUACUUCUUGAAUAAGCCCCGGCUAACUACGUGCCAGCAGCCGCGGUAAUACGUAGGGGGCGAGCGUUGUCCGAAUUUACUGGGCGUAAAGCGCGCGUAGGCGGACCUUUAAGUCAGGGGUGAAAUUCCGGGGCUCAACUUCGGAACUGCCUUUGAAACUGGGGGUCUUGAGGUAUGGAGAGGGAAGUGGAAUUCCUGGUGUAGCGGUGAAAUGCGUAGAUAUCAGGAGGAACACCCGUGGCGAAGGCGGCUUCCUGGCCAUAUCCUGACGCUGAGGUGCGAAAGCCAGGGGAGCGAACGGGAUUAGAUACCCUGGU
Molecule: ribosomal RNA, 438 nt
Filed under: uncultured bacterium
Lineage: Bacteria
Description: bacterial SSU rRNA
Rfam family: Bacterial small subunit ribosomal RNA
Source: RNAcentral